UGAGGAAUAUUGGUCAAUGGACGAGAGUCUGAACCAGCCAAGUAGCGUGCAGGAUGACGGCCCUCCGGGUUGUAAACUGCUUUUAGUUGGGAAUAAAAGGGAUGACGUGUCAUCCGUUGUAUGUACCAUCAGAAAAAGGACCGGCUAAUUCCGUGCCAGCAGCCGCGGUAAUACGGAAGGUCCGGGCGUUAUCCGGAUUUAUUGGGUUUAAAGGGAGCGUAGGCGGAGACAUAAGUCAGCGGUAAAAUCGUGCGGCUCAACCGUACCUCGCCGUUGAUACUGUGUCUCUUGAGUGCAUGCAGGGAUGCUGGAAUUCGUCGUGUAGCGGUGAAAUGCUUAGAUAUGACGAAGAACUCCGAUCGCGAAGGCAGGUGUCCGGAAUGCAACUGACGCUGAGGCUCGAAAGUGC
This 409-nucleotide ribosomal RNA is filed under the name uncultured Prevotellaceae bacterium. Its description in RNAcentral is "bacterial SSU rRNA". It matches the Rfam family "Bacterial small subunit ribosomal RNA", at positions 355 to 762 of the family's 1533-position model. Lineage: Bacteria; Pseudomonadati; Bacteroidota; Bacteroidia; Bacteroidales; Prevotellaceae. The record is from RNAcentral.